This 468-nucleotide small RNA is filed under the name Pongo abelii (Sumatran orangutan). RNAcentral describes it as "processed transcript". The record is from RNAcentral. Lineage: Eukaryota; Metazoa; Chordata; Mammalia; Primates; Hominidae.
GGCUUCCCCAUGUGUGCUCCAGCCGUCAGCCGGCCCAGCUGAGCAGCAGCAACGGACCUUGUUACCAGCGCAGCAGCCUCCACCGCUUGCUGUUGCCCUCCUCUCUCGGUGGUCUGUCCGCACAGCGCACGUCACCAUGGGCAAGAGCCGGACGAAGCGCUUCAAGCGACCUCAGUUCUCCCCUACGGGCGACUGUCAGGCCGAGGCGGCUGCGGCGGCGAAUGGGACCGGAGGCGAGGAGGACGACGGGCCGGCGGCGGAGCUGCUGGAAAAGAAAUCUCAGUGCUUGUGGAGGUUUUGAAGUUUGUGAUAACAUGGUGACUAAGGAUAUCAUGACCCCUCUGGUUGCGCUGCUAAAAGAGAUGACAAAGCCGAGGCACAGACAUUAGGAACUUGUGAAGAUUACAUGUAGUGCUGGACUGGAUUCAAAUGAGAUGUCUCUACAGGAGAAAAAAGAUCAGAACAGAA